AUGCCGACAGCUCUCUUUGCCACCCCUACAACGUGCUUGUUCAAGCAGCUCCUUUUCUUUCAGGUUUUGUGCUUAGAAAGAGUGACAUGAUGCAGGAUGGAGUUGCGAGGAGUUCCCGGACACGGUCAAAGAUGGCUGGAACAGUCGGAUGGAUUUGCAAUCAUGCAAUAAAUGCCCACAUAAGAUGCCAUGGUCAAAUGGUUGGAGAUCGUUGACAGUUUGCAGCUAUUGAUGAAAGUUGUUUCCGUAAUAAAAGCAAGUAUCACCACAGAAGGGCCGGUGCAACAUGGCGACGGAAAAAAGUGGGUUUUAAGAAUAUUAGGAGUUGGUG
Molecule: long non-coding RNA, 331 nt
Organism: Engraulis encrasicolus (European anchovy)
Lineage: Eukaryota; Metazoa; Chordata; Actinopteri; Clupeiformes; Engraulidae
Exons: 3
Source: RefSeq, a predicted model, not a curated record